AUGGAGUCGAAGAGGGUGAACAUUGUUGAUUGUCUAACUGAUGAUCUAGUGGUGGAAAUCCUCUCUCGAGUGCCACCCAAGUCAUUUUGCCGCUUCAAAUGUGUGUGCAAGGCUUGGCUUGCCUUCUCCUCUGAUCCUCACUACCGUCGGAAGCUGCCAAAAACUUCCACUGGUCUUCUCUACAAACCUCAAUACGGGUCUGCUAUCCAGCUUGUUGGCAUGUCCCCAAAUGAUGAGGAAAUUGAUGGAGCUUUUACAUUCAUCCCUCAGUACGAGCAAUUAGAACUUGUGGACUAUUGCAAUGGCCUGGUACUUUGCCGGUACAAGAGCAGAUAUACUUCUGCAGAUACUUGCCGCUUCAUUGUUUGCAACCCAGCAACACGAGAGUGGAGGACGCUUCCUAUUCUUAAUACUCCAUAUGGCCCAAAUGUCUCCCGCUAUACAGCUUUUUUGGCCUUCGAUCCAUCAUGA
This 471-nucleotide ribosomal RNA is filed under the name Triticum aestivum (bread wheat). RNAcentral describes it as "partial small subunit ribosomal RNA". Lineage: Eukaryota; Viridiplantae; Streptophyta; Magnoliopsida; Poales; Poaceae. The record is from RNAcentral.